AUGCAUUUCCUAAUUGAUGACUGAUUCAUUUCCAGGCUCAGAGAAUGUUUUAUCCUUUGGGGGGAAUAGAGAGGAAAACAAUGAAAUUAAUAACUUCCUCACUUCUGGAGAAUCAAAGAAAUCAGCGGAAUGAUGGCAGCCUGUCAGUCCUGAUUGUCCUGACUCACCUGUACCAACAGCCCUUUCCAAACUGAAAUCUGACUAGCAGAAAAAGGGAUUAUGUUUAGAUGUAUACACGUAAGUUUGGGUACAGGCUGUGCUAUCAAGUCUGGCCCUACCUAGAGAAAGAGCAGUCCAGAGAUUCCAUUGGUGAGACUGGAAGGCACCAAGACAUCUGAGGUUCUGGUCAAGAUUCUGAGGAUAUGAAAAUAAAGACUGAAAUCAUCCUAUUCUCAAAGGAGAUCAUAUUCAAAUAGAAGAGGACAACAAAUAAACAUAUAUAAAUAUAUGUAGACCUAAUAUAGAGUAUAAAAUAAAUACAAGGUAUUUAUUUUAUUAUAUAAGGUUUGCAAGAUGCUUUACAAAUAUCUCAUUUAGACCUCAUAACAAUUCUGGGAGGAAAUUGGCAAGCAGAACCUUGAAAAGCACAGAGCUAGGGAUGGAGAGAAAUAAGCAGAAAUAGCUACUAGGAGUAAAAAUAAUAGUUGUUUCCACUGAUACUUCACUUUAAAAUGGAUAAAUAUUGCUUCUGUUGGUCCUUAUGGUAAUUAUGGGAGGUGAGUCUUUCCAGUGAACUACAGAUCUUAAAGGACCAAGCAAGGAUUUGAAUUUGAAUAUUUCCUCUGCUACUUAUUACCUGUGUGACCUUGAGCACAUUUGUCCUAUCCCUCUGGCUUCAGUUUUCUCGUCUUAAAAAUGAGAGAGUUAGAGAAGAUGAUCUCCAAGAGCUCUCACAGCUUUAAAUAUAUGGUUCUAUGAAACAUUUGUGUUAUGUCACAAACUGAUCAAAAUACUUCUGUGAAUGUGAUCUCUA
This is a long non-coding RNA of Antechinus flavipes (yellow-footed antechinus), 973 nucleotides long. RefSeq lists it as uncharacterized. The transcript has 4 exons. The record is from RefSeq and is a predicted model, not a curated record. NCBI's taxonomy places the organism in Eukaryota, Metazoa, Chordata, Mammalia, Dasyuromorphia, Dasyuridae.